This 5671-nucleotide long non-coding RNA is filed under the name Erythranthe guttata (spotted monkey flower). Its description in RNAcentral is "long non-coding RNA (EGUT_LNC000530)". Lineage: Eukaryota; Viridiplantae; Streptophyta; Magnoliopsida; Lamiales; Phrymaceae. The record is from RNAcentral.
ACACGUGAUCACGAUUUUAAAAUAAAAUUAAGGUGAUUACCAUAAUAGGUAAAUAGAGUACUUUAAUACUAGAACUAGCUUGAGUUAUUAAUGUGAAUCAUAGCGGUUAUAUGAUUCAUUCAUCAUAUUCCCUUCUAUGUAUCACGCCACUAAUAACCCUUACUAUUCUAAUCCAUAAUAGCCCCUUUAAUUUUGUCUUGUUAGGACAAAUCCUGUCAAAUUAACUCCAAAUAUAAUAUGUGCACACAUAAUUGGAAACAGGAAAACAGAAACAAUUCAUUAAAUAAAUUAAGUGUCAAUUACAUAAUCAUAUCUCAUUAAAUCAUGGAUUGCUCAAAAGACCCAUUCUAAUAACAUGUUCCUCAUAUGUCUUUAUAGGCAAUCCCUUGGUUAAUGGAUCAGCAACCAUAAGAGUUGUACUUAAAUUUUCUAUUGACACUUGUUGUUUCAGGACUCUUUCUUUAACAACCAAGUACUUAAGAUCCAUGUGCUUGGAUCCACUUGAAUACUUUCCAUUCUUAGAGAAGAAAACGGCUGCGGUGUUAUCACAAUAUAUCUUCAAAGGCUUAGCAAUUGAGUCAACAGCCUUAAGCCCUAAGAUAAAAUUUCGCAACCAUAGUGCAUGACUCGAGGCCUCAAAACAUGCUACAAACUCAGCCUCCAUUGUGGAAGAAGCAAUAAUAGUUUGCUAUACACUCUUCCAAGAGAUUGCUCCACCAGCUAGUAGAAAUACAAAGCCCGAUGUGGACUUUCUACUAUCUACACAACCAGCAAAAUCGGAGUCCGAAUAACCAAUAACCUCUAAUUGGUCCGAUCUCCUAUAAGUAAGCAUGUAAUCCUUUGUUCCUUGAAGAUACCUCAUAACCUUCUUUGCUGCUUUCCAAUGAUAUAUUCCCGGAUUACUUUGAUAUCUACCAAGUACUCCCACUGCAUAACUAAUAUCUGGUCUAGUACAAGUCUGUGCAUACAUCAGACUUCCAACAGCUGAUGCAUAUGGAAUCAAUUUCAUUUUCUCCUUUUCCAAAUCAUUCUUUGGACAUUGCUUUUCAUUUAAUUUAUCACCUUUCGUGAUAGGAGCAUUAAUGGCUGAACAAAACUGCAUAUUAAAUCUUUCAAGAACUCAAUUGAUAUAUCCUUUCUGAGACAAGCCUAACAAUCCACGAGAUCGAUCUCUAAAGAUCUCUAUCCCAAUAACAUAAUUUGCCUCACCCAUAUCAACCAUCUUAAAAUUCUUUGAAAGAUAAUUCUUAGUUUCGUGAAGCAAACCAAGAUCACUACUUGCUAGUAAAAUAUCAUCCACAUACAAGACUAAAAAGAUAAACUUGCUCCCACUGACCUUUAGAUAUAUACACUGAUCAACAGUGUUUUCCUUAAAUCCAAAUGAAGUAAUGGUAUCAUUGAAUUUUAUAUACCAUUGUCUAGAAGCUUGUUUAAGUCCAUAUAUGGAUUUCUUUAAUUUACAAGCCAAGUGUUCCUUUCCUUGUUUUGCAAAUCCUUCAGGCUGGUCCAUAUAGAUAUCUUCAUCUAAAUCCCCAUUCAGAAAAGCGGUUUUAACGUCCAUUUGGUGCAACUCCAAAUCAUAAUGAGCUACAAGAGCCAUAACGAUUCUAAGAGAGUCUUUCUUAGAUACCGGAGAGAAAGUUUCUCUAUAAUCAACGCCUUCCUUUUGAGUGAAACCUUUGGCCACUAGUCUAGCUUUAAAUCUUUCGAUAUUGCCUUUAGAGUCACGUUUGGUCUUGAAGACCCAUCUACAACCGACUUUCUUACUGUUAUUAGGCAAUUCGACAAGAUCCCGGACACCAUUAUAGUCCAUUGAUUUCAACUCUUCAUUCAUAGCAUCAAUCCAUUUACUAGAAUCUUUACUUUUAAUGGCUUGUGAAUAUGAAACUGGAUCAUUUUGAAUACCAAUAUCAAAAUCAGAUUCUUGUAGAUACACCACAUAAUCAUCGGAUAUGGCAGAUUUCCUUUCCCUUUGAGAUUUCCUCAAAGCUACCGGUUGUGGUGGUUCUACAAUAUUGCCAAUGAUGACAUCUUCAUGAAGAGGUGAAUGGAGUGGCGAAUCAUUUGUUUCAACUUGCUGUAUAGGUUGAAGAUUAACUUUAUCUUGAGAGAAAUAAGAUGGUAAAAUAUCCAUCCUAAUUUCCUCAAGUUCUACCUUUCUUGAUUCAACACUCCCACUAACUUCACCAUUCUCUAAGAAUUUGGCGUUUCCAGUUUCAACUAUCCUCGUAGUAUGGUUAGGACAAUAAAAUCUGUACCCUUUUGACUUUAGUGGAUAACCAAUAAAAUAUCCAGAAAUUAUUCUAGGAUCCAAUUUCUUUUCAUUUGGAUUGUAUAUUCUAGCCUCUGCAGGACAACCCCAAACAUGUAAAUGUCUUAAACUAGGUUUCCUACCAGUCCACAACUCGUAGGGAGUUGUUGGGACUGCCUUACUGGGAACCCGGUUUAAGAUAUACAUAGCGGUUUUCAAGGCUUCCUUCCAAAGUGAAAUGGGUACAGUUGAAUUACUUAACAUACUCCUAACCAUAUCCAUAAGAGUACGAUUACGACGUUCAGCAACUCCAUUCUGCUGUGGUGUUCCAGGCAUUGUGUAUUGAGCACAAAUACCACGCUUUUCUAAGAAUUUAGCAAAUGGGCCAGGAUUUUGUCCUGACUCAUCAUAUCUACCAUAGUAUUCCCCACCCCGAUCUGAUCGUAUAACUUUAAUUUUUCUUUCUAAUUGUCUUUCGACUUCCGUAACAAACACCUCAAGCAUGUCAACGGCUUGAGAUUUUUCAUGAAUUAGAUAGAGAUAACCAUAACGAGAUAGAUCAUCAAUAAAGGUGAUAAAAUACUUUUCUCCACUAAAACAUGGAAUAGGUAGUGAGCAGAUAUAUGUAUGGAUUAACUCAAGAAGCUCUUUACUUCUUGUGGCACCUCUUUUAUUGUGUUUGGUUUGCUUACCCUUAAUGCAAUCCACACACACUUGAAACUCAGUAAAAUCUAGAUUUUCCAAAAUUCCAGUUUUUACUAAUUUUUCGAUUCUUUCCUUGGAGAUAUGCCCCAAUCGUUUAUGCCACAAGAUAGAAGAAUUUUCGUUAUUUAGGCUUCGCUUUACGCCAACUUCCGAAUGAGUGGUUAAUAAUGAUUGUUCAAACUCAUGAUUCAAAGAUAUUUUAUAUAAACUAUAACAUAAAAUACCGGAACCAAUUAUUAUUGAAUUAAACAUAAAACUGAGUUUUCCACAACCAAUUAAAGCUGAAUAACCACAAACAUCCAGUUUUGACAAAGAAACCAAAUUCCUAGAAAACGAAGGUACAUAAAAAGUGUUUUCAAGAUCCAUCUUGUGACCCGUCUCUAAAAUGAGGCGAUAAGUGCCAACAAACGCCACUUUAGAUUUGAGACGGUUCCCCAUAUAGAUGUACUUUUCACUUUCCUCCGGUUUCCAAGUUGUAAGGAAUCCCUGUAAUGAAUUUGUGAUAUGAGUUGUAGCACCAGAAUCAAGCCACCAAGUGUAAGAAGGAACUUCAAUAAGAUUUGAUUCAUAACAUACAAAAGAAAGAUGAAUACCUUUCUUUUCGAACCAAGCCUUUCGUUUCUCACAAUCCUUCUUUACGUGUCCCUUCUUGUUACAAAAGUAACAGGUGACAACAAAAGCCUGUCCAUGACCCUGACUACUUUCACCAGGUUCAUAUCUUUUGUUUGGUGCGAAUUUCUUUUCACUCUUCACAAAUUUCCCUUUCUUCUUCAUACUUCCAUGAGUUACAGCCAAUGCAAAGUGAUUUCCUUCCUGCUUUAAUCUCACUUCCUCUUGAAUACACAUACUAGUCAGCUCAUUCAAAUUCCACUUAUCUUUUUGAGUAUUAUAGUGGAUUUUGAAUGGACCGAACUUUGAUAGAAGUGAGUUCAGGAUAAAUUGCACAAGGAAGGACUCUUCCACUUUCAUGCCAAGAGCUCCAAGUUUGGCAGCCUUAUCAGUCAUAUUCAGGAUGUGUUCCUGAAUUCCCUUAUCACCACCAUAUUUCAUGGUAGUCAAUUCAGCCAUGAGUGUCCCUGCUAACGACUUGUCCGCUGAUUUAAAGCGUUCUUUAAUAGCCGUUAACAGUUCCAUAGCAUUGUCAACCUCGGGAAGGGAAGUCUUAAUGUUAUUAGCAACAGUCAUUCUAAUAAGCAUAAGACUAAGCCUAUUGGACUUGGUCCAGGCUUCAAUUAGGCUAACUUCUUCCUCACUGUUAGCAUCCGUUAUUUCCCCAGGUUUUUCAGUAAGCAAUGCUUGGUCCAUAUCCAUAACACCCAAGGUGAAUUGAAUUUGUUCAUACCAUUCGGAGAAAUUUAACCCAUUGAGUGUCUUAAUACCAGAAGCAUGCGAGUACAAUGAAGUAGGAAUAGCAACUGAAAUAAAUAUAGCAAAUAUAAUAAGGUAAAGAUAAAAGGAUGCUCACAUAAGACCUUGAGUCAAAUAAGAUGAACUAUUGAUAUCACUACAAGUUCGCCUUUGGGUGAAAUACAGCAUACCUAUUGUUCACUCUAUGUUGGUGUAAAUAAUCUUUUAUAACACCUAAGUAGGAUCUAACAUAAUUUAUCUCACUCGUCAAUUAGUCAUGUUACCUUUAGGUAAACAAUUCUAAUUGCUAAGUAAUAUAAAUUAUGACACCCUACCCAGUUCAUAAUUAAUUAAAAUCGACUAUCCUUUGAGCUAGUCUCAAUUUCUUAAUUAUGACUGCAAUUUGAGAAUAUUAUAAUCUUUAAUAUCAUUAAGACUUCCCUUCCCGAGGUUGACAUAAAAACCUUAAUUUUAUUUAAUUUUAUGCGGAAAACCUUAAUCACAGAAGGUGUGAUUUAUAAAUUUUAAGAAUAUAAUCACGUAAUAGAGAUUAUCGACAUACCGUUCGCCAUGGAUUUCGAUAGAGACGAUGAACGAUAGCAAUCUACAAGCCAAGCCUAGCCAGGCCUCCUUCGAAUCUCCUUGUGAAAACUUUAUUCGUAGGCACACCUUCUUCUCUCUAUCUCUCUAAUAUCACAACUCACUAAGUGUCUGUAAUUGAUGGAAUUCUCAAUUGUGUCUGAUGGUUGAGGAGAAGAGUUGUGGAUGCUUUUAUAGACAAGAGAAGAGGGCCACGAUUGAUUUGUAACGGCAGAAGACAAAUCCCACCCAUCAUGGUCUUUUACUGCCUUCAACGUUACAAAUCAAUUACCAUAAAAUCACCUUAAUACCAUGAUUUGAAUUACCCACAACUAAUAAAUUAAAUACAAAGGUUAAUGGGCCAUUAAAUAAAAUAAAACGUUAAAAAAUAAAACUAACAUUCUCCCACUUGGCCCAUUGAACCGUUUAAAAAAAAUAAGUUUAAAAAUUAUUUGACUCGGUGGGUUCUUCAUACAAAACAUUUGACACGUGAUCACGAUUUUAAAAUAAAAUUAAGGUGAUUACCAUAAUAGGUAAAUAGAGUAUUUUAAUACUAGAACUAGCUUGAGUUAUUAAUGUGAAUCAUAGCGGUUAUAUGAUUCAUUUAUCAUAUUCCCUUCUAUGUAUCACACCAUUAAUAACCCUUACUAUUCUAUUCCAUAACAGCCCCUUUAAUUUUGUCUUGUUAGGACAAAUCCUGUUAAAUUAAUUCCAAAUAUAAUAUGUGCACACAUAAUUGGAAACAGGAAAACAUAAACAUUUAAAUAAAUUAAGUGUCAAUUACAUAAU